This 900-nucleotide ribosomal RNA is filed under the name Peptoniphilus gorbachii. RNAcentral's name for it is "bacterial SSU rRNA". It matches the Rfam family "Bacterial small subunit ribosomal RNA", at positions 82 to 1000 of the family's 1533-position model. The record is from RNAcentral. Lineage: Bacteria; Bacillati; Bacillota; Tissierellia; Tissierellales; Peptoniphilaceae.
GGGGUGAAGAUAAAAUGGAUUAGCGGCGGACGGGUGAGUAACACGUGAGUAACCUGCCUUAGACAUUGGGAUAGCCUCGGGAAACCGGGAUUAAUACCGAAUAAAAUCACAGAUACACAUGUAUCCAUGAUCAAAACUCCGGUGGUCUAAGAUGGACUCGCGUCCCAUUAGCUAGUUGGUGAGGUAACGGCCCACCAAGGCGACGAUGGGUAGCCGGCCUGAGAGGGUGAACGGCCACAUUGGAACUGAGAAACGGUCCAAACUCCUACGGGAGGCAGCAGUGGGGAAUAUUGCACAAUGGAGGGAACUCUGAUGCAGCGACGCCGCGUGAACGAAGAAGGCUUUCGAGUCGUAAAGUUCUUUUAUAUGGGAAGAUAAUGACGGUACCAUAAGAAAAAGCCCCGGCUAACUACGUGCCAGCAGCCGCGGUAAUACGUAGGGGGCUAGCGUUGUCCGGAAUCACUGGGCGUAAAGGGUUCGCAGGCGGAAAUGCAAGUCAGAUGUAAAAGGCAGUAGCUUAACUACUGUAAGCAUUUGAAACUGCAUAUCUUGAGAAGAGUAGAGGUAAGUGGAAUUUUUAGUGUAGCGGUGAAAUGCGUAGAUAUUAAAAAGAAUACCGGUGGCGAAGGCGACUUACUGGGCUCAUUCUGACGCUGAGGAACGAAAGCGUGGGUAGCAAACAGGAUUAGAUACCCUGGUAGUCCACGCUGUAAACGAUGAGUGCUAGGUGUCGGCUUAAGUCGGUGCCGCAGUUAACACAAUAAGCACUCCGCCUGGGGAGUACGUGCGCAAGCAUGAAACUCAAAGGAAUUGACGGGGACCCGCACAAGCAGCGGAGCAUGUGGUUUAAUUCGAAGCAACGCGAAGAACCUUACCAGGCUUGACAUACUGAGGACCGGU